AUUGAACGCUGGCGGCAGGCCUAACACAUGCAAGUCGAACGGUAACAGGAAGAAGCUUGCUUCUUUGCUGACGAGUGGCGGACGGGUGAGUAAUGUCUGGGAAACUGCCUGAUGGAGGGGGAUAACUACUGGAAACGGUAGCUAAUACCGCAUAACGUCGCAAGACCAAAGAGGGGGACCUUCGGGCCUCUUGCCAUCGGAUGUGCCCAGAUGGGAUUAGCUAGUAGGUGGGGUAACGGCUCACCUAGGCGACGAUCCCUAGCUGGUCUGAGAGGAUGACCAGCCACACUGGAACUGAGACACGGUCCAGACUCCUACGGGAGGCAGCAGUGGGGAAUAUUGCACAAUGGGCGCAAGCCUGAUGCAGCCAUGCCGCGUGUAUGAAGAAGGCCUUCGGGUUGUAAAGUACUUUCAGCGGGGAGGAAGGGAGUAAAGUUAAUACCUUUGCUCAUUGACGUUUCCCGCAGAAGAAGCACCGGCUAACUCCGUG
RNAcentral lists this ribosomal RNA (490 nucleotides) under uncultured bacterium. RNAcentral's name for it is "partial 16S ribosomal RNA". It matches the Rfam family "Bacterial small subunit ribosomal RNA", at positions 30 to 507 of the family's 1533-position model. The record is from RNAcentral.